AAUUCCAACCCGACUCGUGUCCUAUCCAAUCACGGGCCCUGAUAUCCGAAACCGUGUCCUGCUUCCGUUAUCAUCUUGCGCCACGAACCACCUCAGCCUGAAACAGAACACACAGAAAAACCUCCGAUGAAUCUCCAAGCUCCGUGUACCUUCUCCACCCUCCUCCGCCCGAAACCGCCGCUUUACCGGCGUCUACCUCCGCUCAAAUGCUGCCUCACAACGACGCCGGAGCUCCAGAUGCCUGUAGGAGUCGGGGUCCCCUCCCAUAAAGUCACCGUCCACGACAGGAAACGUGGGCUCGUUCACGAGUUCUUCGUGCCCGAGGACCAGUAUAUACUGCACACUGCGGAGGCUCAGAGUAUAUCUCUCCCGUUCGCUUGCAGGCACGGUUGUUGCACUAGCUGUGCUGUUCGCGUAAAAUCUGGCCAAAUUAGACAGCCUGAAGCAUUAGGGAUAUCUGCAGAGCUGAAAUCUAAGGGCUAUGCACUUCUUUGCGUGGGCUUCCCUUCUUCUGAUAUUGAAGUUGAAACACAAGAUGAGGAUGAGGUGUAUUGGCUUCAGUUUGGAAGAUAUUUUGCUAGAGGUCCAAUAGAAAGAGAUGACUAUGCGUUGGAGUUAGCUAUGGGUGAUGAGUAAGCUACAUAACUGGAUUGGAGUUAUGGAUCAUGAGUGAAGAUCCUAAAACCAUGCUGUGAGACGUCACUCCAAGAAGACAUUUGGAAGAAGAUGAAAGGUCAAUCUGGUGGAACCCAGAAUAUCAGUGUCACCCAUGUGGAGGGAGGGACUCUGGACCAGUCUCUGGUGACAAAACUAGGUUAGCUUGAUUUUCUUUUCAAGUUGCGGAAAAUCCAUUACAAAUAAGCACUUAGAUGGGCCUGCUUGGUACUAGAAGUUCAUUCAUUUGAAAUUAUAUCGUUUAUGGAUCUCUCUCUAGUUGCGAUUCUCUUCUCUGAAAGGUGACUUGGCCAUUGUGGUACGUUUGACGUACCACCACAUGUUUUUUUUUGACGUACGACCACAAGUUGCUUGGCUUUAAGAUUGGUUGUAAAGUAAUGGUUGCAGUUCUGAAUUUAUUCUUUUAUGUUGUCUGCCCAGUGAUAACAGUGUUGUGAAAACGGUUGAGGUCGAUUUAAGUGUUGCUCUGUAAUCUGUAUGCAUAUUGAGUACCACAAAUUCCAGAACUUAACGAUUGUAAACUUUUGAGUUGAGAUUUAUAGAGGAAUCCUAAGAAUUCUAAGAAA
RNA transcript from Rhododendron vialii, 1241 nucleotides. It is a transcript of the gene named ferredoxin C 2, chloroplastic, with no coding region annotated. The transcript has 8 exons. NCBI's taxonomy places the organism in Eukaryota, Viridiplantae, Streptophyta, Magnoliopsida, Ericales, Ericaceae. The record is from RefSeq and is a predicted model, not a curated record.